This 504-nucleotide ribosomal RNA is filed under the name uncultured bacterium. RNAcentral describes it as "bacterial SSU rRNA". It matches the Rfam family "Bacterial small subunit ribosomal RNA", at positions 15 to 507 of the family's 1533-position model. The record is from RNAcentral.
GAUCAUGGCUCAGGAUGAACGCUAGCUACAGGCUUAACACAUGCAAGUCGAGGGGAAACGACAUCGAAAGCUUGCUUUUGAUGGGCGUCGACCGGCGCACGGGUGAGUAACGCGUAUCCAACCUGCCCACCACUUGGGGAUAACCUUGCGAAAGUAAGACUAAUACCCAAUGAUAUCCCACGAAGGCAUCCGAAUGGGAUUAAAGAUUUAUCGCUGAAAGAUGGCCUCGCGUCUGAUUAGCUAGUUGGUGAGGUAACGGCCCACCAAGGCGACGAUCAGUAGCCGGACUGAGAGGUUGAACGGCCACAUUGGGACUGAGAUACGGCCCAGACUCCUACGGGAGGCAGCAGUGGGGAAUAUUGGGCAAUGGGGGAAGCCUGAACCAGCCAAGUAGCGUGCAGGAAGACGGCCCUAUGGGUUGUAAACUGCUUUCAGUCGGGAAUAAUUCGUCGGUCGUGACCGACGUUGCAGGUACCGUCAUAAGAAGGACCGGCUAAUUCCGUG